This 497-nucleotide ribosomal RNA is filed under the name uncultured bacterium. Its description in RNAcentral is "partial 16S ribosomal RNA". It matches the Rfam family "Bacterial small subunit ribosomal RNA", at positions 28 to 507 of the family's 1533-position model. The record is from RNAcentral.
GAUGAACGCUGGCGGCGUGCCUAAUACAUGCAAGUCGAGCGAACAGAUGAGGAGCUUGCUCCUCUGACGUUAGCGGCGGACGGGUGAGUAACACGUGGAUAACCUACCUAUAAGACUGGGAUAACUUCGGGAAACCGGAGCUAAUACCGGAUAAUAUAUUGAACCGCAUGGUUCAAUAGUGAAAGACGGUUUUGCUGUCACUUAUAGAUGGAUCCGCGCCGCAUUAGCUAGUUGGUAAGGUAACGGCUUACCAAGGCAACGAUGCGUAGCCGACCUGAGAGGGUGAUCGGCCACACUGGAACUGAGCCACGGUCCAGACUCCUACGGGAGGCAGCAGUAGGGAAUCUUCCGCAAUGGGCGAAAGCCUGACGGAGCAACGCCGCGUGAGUGAUGAAGGUCUUCGGAUCGUAAAACUCUGUUAUUAGGGAAGAACAAAUGUGUAAGUAAAUAUGCACGUCGUGACGGUACCUAAUCAGAAAGCCACGGCUAACUACGUG